CAGGCCUAACACAUGCAAGUCGAACGAUGAAGCCGCUUCGGUGGUGGAUUAGUGGCGAACGGGUGAGUAACACGUGGGCAAUCUGCCCUUCACUCUGGGACAAGCCCUGGAAACGGGGUCUAAUACCGGAUAAUACUCUGUUCCGCAUGGAACGGCGUUGAAAGCUCCGGCGGUGAAGGAUGAGCCCGCGGCCUAUCAGCUUGUUGGUGGGGUAAUGGCCUACCAAGGCGACGACGGGUAGCCGGCCUGAGAGGGCGACCGGCCACACUGGGACUGAGACACGGCCCAGACUCCUACGGGAGGCAGCAGUGGGGAAUAUUGCACAAUGGGCGAAAGCCUGAUGCAGCGACGCCGCGUGAGGGAUGACGGCCUUCGGGUUGUAAACCUCUUUCAGCAGGGAAGAAGCGCAAGUGACGGUACCUGCAGAAGAAGCGCCGGCUAACUACGUGCCAGCAGCCGCGGUAAUACGUAGGGCGCAAGCGUUGUCCGGAAUUAUUGGGCGUAAAGAGCUCGUAGGCGGCUUGUCACGUCGGAUGUGAAAGCCCGGGGCUUAACCCCGGGUCUGCAUUCGAUACGGGCUAGCUAGAGUGUGGUAGGGGAGAUCGGAAUUCCUGGUGUAGCGGUGAAAUGCGCAGAUAUCAGGAGGAACACCGGUGGCGAAAGCGGAUCUCUGGGCCAUUACUGACGCUGAGGAGCGAAAGCGUGGGGAGCGAACAGGAUUAGAUACCCUGGUAGUCCACGCCGUAAACGUUGGGAACUAGGUGUUGGCGACAUUCCACGUCGUCGUGCCGCAGCUAACGCAUUAAGUUCCCCGCCUGGGGAGUACGGCCGCAAGGCUAAAACUCAA
This 847-nucleotide ribosomal RNA is filed under the name Streptomyces bacillaris. RNAcentral describes it as "bacterial SSU rRNA". It matches the Rfam family "Bacterial small subunit ribosomal RNA", at positions 43 to 904 of the family's 1533-position model. Lineage: Bacteria; Bacillati; Actinomycetota; Actinomycetes; Kitasatosporales; Streptomycetaceae. The record is from RNAcentral.